Molecule: long non-coding RNA, 34415 nt
Filed under: Gossypium barbadense (sea-island cotton)
Lineage: Eukaryota; Viridiplantae; Streptophyta; Magnoliopsida; Malvales; Malvaceae
Description: long non-coding RNA (GBAR_LNC022198)
Source: RNAcentral
GAGAACUCCCAUUUAUACAAACAAAUAUAAGUGGGCAAAUUCAAUACUCAUAAUAAAUACACAAAGAUGACUAAAAACAUUAUUAAACCAGAUCCAGUAUGCAGCAUACAAGAAAAGGGGGUAUUUCAAGGAGUAGAACGAGAAGGUGGUGGAGAAAAGGAAGGAAUAGAGGGAACUGCAGUUGGGAUUGAGGGAAUGCUUGGCAGAGGCGGCAGUCAUCUUGGCAAUGUGGUAGGAAGUGGAGGAAGCGCCCCAGGGUUUGGGAGAUUAGGGAAAGAUGGCAAUGGCGGAAAAGAGAAAGGAAUAGGGGGAAUUGCAGUUGGGAUUGUGGGGACUGAGGGAAUGCUUGGCAGAGGGGGCAGUCCUGUUGGGAAUGUGGUAGGAAGUGGAAGAAGCGCCCCAGGCCAUGAGAAUGAUGGUCGGGAUGGCGUUGGGAGAUUAGGGAAAGAUGGUAAACUUUGCGUUCGAGGCUGCUGCAGAAGGUGACGAGCUGCUACCCCAACAUCAAUGCCUGCAAAUGACAAAGCAAUCAAGAAUGCUAAAGCAAAGCAAUUGAAAGAGGCCAUUUUUGUUCAAAGAUUUCGAAACAAAUGAAGCAGAUGAAACGAAGUUCUUUAUCUGAAUAGUUGUGAGUGAGGAAAACAAAGCAUGGUAUUGAGGUUUAUAUAGGCAUUGGAGUAGUGAAUAGAAAUCCCCUGCCCUUAAACAAUGCCCCAUGCAUGCCCCCAAACCAAAUUAGCGCCACAUGUUUUUUAUUUUUUCCAUUUUAAUUGUAGUUCAUUUUUUAAAUAAAAAAUUUAUAAUGAUUUGAAUUAAUUUUUAACUUAUUAUCAACGUUUUUAUUUUUGUUUUAUUUUUAUUUUACAUUAAUUUUACCUAUUCUUUAAUUAACAACUUUAUAAUGACUUAGAGUUUAUCUAAUAGAGGUUUUUUUUUUAUAAUCGGUCUUAUAAUAAAAUUUUAUAAGGUGGGAACAAGUCCCACUGUGACAACAUGAUCCUUCAAUUUUUGGUGGUGGCAUGCCUUUAGUCAAAGGAUCAGCUAACAUCUGCUCAAUGCUAAUGUGCUCAAUGACCAAUUUCUUUUCUUUAACAUGUUCCCUCAUGCCUAGGUACUUAAAGUCGAUAUGUUUACUUCGACUUCCACUUCUUCCGUUCUUAGCCAUAGAGACAGCAGUUGAAUUGUCACAAUAUAUGAAAUAAUCAAAACCCAUAAUGACUCAGCCCAAAAAUCUCGAGCUUCAAACCCAAAUUAAAUUAAAUCAAAACCAUAAUUUAUUAUGUACAAUUGCACAAAAUUAACAUAAUUUAAGUGUGUCAUACUGCAUAUUAAAUUAAAGUUUACGUUUGACAUUAUAGAUAAUAUUCACGUGUAAAAUUUUGAGAUUUAUUCCCUUAAUUAAAGUAAUAUGUCAAAUAGAAUACUUGAACAAUCCUCCAUGUUGGCAAAGUUUAUGUACAGUAGUAGAAGCGAACUAAAUAAUUAGAAUAAAUCUAAAGUAUGGCUUACAUAUAAUUUAUUCACAAUGUGACUUAAACUUUGUCCUUCAAGAUUUCACGGUCUCAAUUUAUGUCUUAAAAUUUUAAGAUCAUUUUAGGUUUGUUAAAAAAUUAAAAGUUUAGAAAGUUAGAAUUGUUGCUUGAGGCGUGAAUAUCUUUAUUCUUUAGGAUAUUUGCGGAUUUACCACCUCUCAGGAUUUCGUUUGUAUCAUGCACAAUGAAAAAAUUGAAAAAAAAAAUUUCACAUUUGAAUGGAAUUGAGCUGUUAGGCUCAAGCCUCAUGUGCGCAUAUAUAUUCUCUUAUUUUGAGUCUUACAAGUUUAUAGUAAACCAAAUCUAUAUAAACAUCAUUUCAUUAGGUCAAUCUAAAAUAUGUUUAAUAUGUGUAAUUCUUUAAAAUAGAUGAAAACUUCAAAUAUGGUUUAGGUCAUUUUUAGAUUUGUCUUAUUUUAGGUUCAAAUCAUUCGAAUUUGAGGCUAAGUUUUUCAUGUCUAAUCAUUAUUGAUCCGAAUCAUUUUAGAUUUUGAUCAUUUUAAGUUCCAAUUAUUUUGUGAUCAAAUCAUUUCAAGUUUAGAUAAAUUUGGGUCGAUUCGAAUUUGACUUAAUUACGUAGUUAACUUUUUUUUAUAAUAAAUUGAGCUGAAUGAAAGUUAGAUUAGAAUUUAUUUAGUGUGCCUUUGUGUUUAAUUCGAAAUUUAAACAUCUCCCUUCGAAAUAAACAUGUUAAGACAAUUUUAUUUUAAAGACAAUAAUACAACAUAGUUGAUUUGGGAGAUAAACAUGUUAAUUUUUUAAUCCCAACCAAAAUUGUACAUAAUUCUUUUAUGUCAUAUUAAAUACAUGUAACGUCUUAUAAAAAUUGUCAAUAAAUUAUGCCUAGCGACAACGUUAUUCAACUCUAAUUUCAUUGUUAAUACCUAUUUCUAUUUUUCUUCUACUGUCUUCAACUUUAAAUAUAAAGGGAUUGAAAUCUUAAGAAUUGAGAUUUCUUUUCUCUGUAUUAGUGGACGUCUGAUUUUUUGUUUGAUUGUUUUUUUUUUACUGGAAUUGACACAUAUCUUUUCAGAUUUAUCAAUAUUUUUAAAAUUUAUUUAAGAUAUGUAUAUAAAUAUAUUACAAAUAUAAGAUAAAUGAAACUAAAUACAUUUCAAAUAUAAAAUAUUCAUUAAUAAAUUGAACAAAUAAAAAUUUAUCAUUCAAAUAAAUCUAAAAUUAUUAAUAACAAUCCAUCAUUUAAUAUGAAAUUUUAUGGAUUUAGCUCAUUUACUUAAUAAAAGAAGCUAAAAGGUGAACGAAUAUAUUUUUUCUUUGAUAAUCGGGUGAACGGUUUUUCUUAAUUAUAUUUUGAAUGUGAAAGUAUAUUCCAUUUUUUUAAAAACUUUACAUUCUGAUGUAACAUUUUUAAUUAGUCACGUUUCAAUUAAGUUUUUAGCAUAAUAGUAAAUAAUUAAAAGUUUAAUAUUUUUAAUAUUAUUCAUGCACAGGACGGUGCAUUAUGUUCUGGCAAGUGUGACAGGAAUUGAUCGGAAUGAGUUGGUGCAAUUGGUACGGACCGAAAUUUUCACCAGUGUAGAAAAAGCGUGUUGGGUGUUUCGCAAUGUUAUUGAAACCAAACUAAACAGACCAAGAACCGAUGAACCCGAGGACUAGAGCAAACUGCAGUUAAACAACAAAUCAUCAGCCGGUUAAGCCGUAUUUUAACCUUUUCUAAACUGGAAAUACGAAAAUUUCACUUCAAAUCCCUUGAGCUUUUGUCACACUUCUUCUCUGCACUCAAUGAAAUAAAACACAACAUAAAAAUAUAAGCACCAUUUCUUUUAUUACUUUUUCUACUAAAAUAAGUUUUUUUUUCUCAUAAAAAACCUAAGAUGGGGAGAGGAUUUUAAAAUUCAAAACCUUCGAAAUAGAUGAGUUUGAGGUUGUUAAUAUUAUUUUAUAUUUUUGAAUAGUAAAUUAAUUGUAUUAGUGGUUUAACCAAUUGGAUCGAGAAUUAAUGAUUUGAUUGAUUUGAGUUUGGGCUGCUCAUUACCUUGACUGCAUUUAUCAUUUAAUUCUUUUUUUAAUUAGCCAAACUCAUGUUCACAAUGGUAUAACAGUAAUUAAUGACUUCAUGGACAGAACAUCAAUAUAUAAAUACACAAACAAAUAUAAUGGGAAUUGGAGAACUCCAAUUUAUACAAACAAAUAUAAGUGUGCAAAUUCAAUACUCAUAAUAAAUACACAAAGAUGACUAAAAACAUUAUUAAACCAGAUCCAGUAUGCAGCAUACAAGAAAAGAGGGUAUUUCAAGGAGUAGAACGAGAAGGUGGUGGAGAAAAGGAAGGAAUAGAGGGAACUGCAGUUGGGAUUGAGGGAAUGCUUGGCAGAGGCGGCAGUCCUCUUGGCAAUGUGGUAGGAAGUGGAGGAAGCGCCCCAGGGUUUGGGAUAUUAGGGAAAGAUGGCAAUGGCGGAAAAGAGAAAGGAAUAGGGGGAAUUGCAGUUGGGAUUGUGGGGACUGAGGGAAUGCUUGGCAGAGGGGGCAGUCCUGUUGGGAAUGUGGUAGGAAGUGGAGGAAGCGCCCCAGGCCAUAAGAAUGAUGGUCGGGAUGGCGUUGGGAGAUUAGGGAAAGAUGGUAAACUUUGCGUUCGAGGCUGCUGCAGAAGGUGACGAGCUGCUACCCCAACAUCAAUGCCUGCAAAUGACAAAGCAAUCAAGAAUGCUAAAGCAAAGCAAUUGAAAGAGGCCAUUUUUGUUCAAAGAUUUUGAAACAAAUGAAGCAGAUGAAACGAAGUUCUUUAUCUGAAUAGUUGUGAGUGAGGAAAACAAAGCAUGGUAUUGAGGUUUAUAUAGGCAUUGGAGCAGUGAAUAGAAAUCCCCUGCCCCUAAACAAUGCUCCAUGCAUGCCCUCAAACCAAAAUAGCUCCACAUGUUUUUUAUUUUUUUCAUUUUAAUUUUUUUAAAUAAAAACUCUGUAAUGAUUUGAAUUAAUUUUUAACUUAUUAUCAACGUUUUUAUUUUUGUUUUAUUUUUAUUUUACAUUAAUUUUACCUAUUCUUUAAUUAAAAAAUUUAUAAUGACUUAGAGUUAAUUUGAGAGAGUUUUUUUUAUAAUUGGUCUUAUAAUAAAAUUUUACAAAGCAGAAACAAGUUCCACUGUGAAAACAUGAUCCUUAAAUUUUUGGAGAUAACCAUGUUAAUUUUUUAAUCCCAACCAAAAUUCGAAAUAAUUCUUUUAUGUCAUAUUAAAUACACGUAACGUCUUAUAAAAAUUGUCAAUAAAUUAUGCAUAGUGACAAGGUUAUUCAAAUCUAAUUUCAUUGUUAAUACCUAUUUUUAUUUUUCUUCUACUGUCUUCAACUUUAAAUAUAAAGGGAUUGAAAUUUUAAGAAUUGAGAUUUCUUUUCUCUGUAUUAGCGGACGUCUUAUUUUUUGUUUGAUUGUUUUUUUUACUGGAAUUGACACAUAUCUUUUCAGAUUUAUCAAUAUUUUUAAAAUUUAUUUAAGAUAUUAUUGGGAAUUAUCCAUAUUUAUGGAAAAUCAAAGAUAUGGGUAUCAAAUAUUGGAAAGUCAAAGAUAUGGGUAUCGAGAUAUUGGCAUAAUAAAAUCUGAGAUAUUUGCAAUAUAUGGUCCCUAAUUGUAAAGUGACUUUGCAAGUUGAUCCCUGAACCUCAACUAUAAAUAGGCAUAACCAUCUCUCAUUCUGUAUCUCAAACUUGCCAUUCUCUACUUAAGGCAUUGUUUUCUCUCUCUCUCUUUGUAAAUUCUCACUUGUAUUUUGGAGUGAAAUAUAUUUGGUAGUGCCCGAGGACGUAGGCAAAAUUUGCUGAACCUCAUUAAAUUCUUGUGUUCUUUAUUGUAUUAUUCUGCAUGAAUUGUGUGUGUGAUUGUAGUGAUUUAUUGUGCUAUUAAAUUACGAUUGAGGGAUAUUCUGGCUAGGAAAGACCUGGUACUUAAGUGAUCCUUGUGAUCCACCUCUCUUUCCUGGGAAUUGAACUUAGUGUGAUUUUUUAGUACAAUAAUUUUACUCUUUUACACGCUUCCGCACAACAAUUGGUAUCAGAGCUAGAUUCGUACUUGAGGAAUACGAUCGUUCACGGCACUGUUCACGUACUGUAGUUGGGAUUGAGGAGAAAAAGAUGGAAAAGUCAUCGUCAAAGACUACUGUGACCAAUGCGAAAUUUGAAGUAGAGAAAUUUGAUGGUACCAAUAAUUUUGGUAUGUGGCAAUGUGAGAUCCUGGAUGUCUUAUGUCAACAAGAGCUGGAUAUAGCCCUUGAAGAAAAACCUGACAAGAUGGAUGACAAGGAGUGGGCCAAGAUCAAUAGACAGGCAUGUGGAACAAUUCGCCUAUGUUUGGCCAAAGAGCAGAAGUACUCUGUCAUGAGGGAGACAUCAGCGAAGAAGUUGUGGGAUACACUGGAAGAAAAGUUUCUAACAAAAAGUCUUGAAAAUAGGCUUUAUAUGAAAAAAAAACUUUAUCGAUUCACGUAUGCACCCGGUAUGUCGAUGAAUGACCAUGUGAACUCAUUCAAUAAAAUUUUAGCAGACUUGCUAAAUUUGGAUGAGAAAUUUGAAGAUGAAGACAAGGCAUUAUUGUUGUUGAAUUCCCUUCCUGAUGAAUAUGAUCAUCUUACCACCACAUUGCUUCAUGGGAAGGACACGAUCACAUUUGAUGCAGUCUGUAGUGCGUUGUAUAGAUCUGAGACUCGAAAGAAAGAUAAAAGAGAUCACAGAGAUACAACCGCAGAAGUCUUAACAGUAAGAGGUCGUUCACACAGUAGCAAAUCUGGUAGAAGGGGAAAGUCCAAAGGGAGACCCGCCAAAGAUGAAUGUGCCUUUUGCCGUGAAAAAGGGCAUUGGAAAAAGAAUUGUCCUAAGCUACAAAAGGGCAAGGCUAUUUCUAAUGCAUGUGUAGCGGAGCAUGAUGAGGAGUCAGACUUUAGCUUGGUUGGCAUGGCAAUGGCAUGUCAAACGGAUGAGUGGAUUUUGGAUUCAGGAUGUACUUACCAUUUGUGCCCUAAUAAGGACUGGUUUUCUAGUCUUAAAGAGCUAGAAGGUGGAAUUGUUCUUAUGGGAAAUGAUAGUGCUUGUAAGACAAUGGGAGUGGGUACAGUCCAAUUGAAGAAUCACGACGGCUCAAUCCAAGUCUUGACAGAUGUUCGCUACGUACCUAGCCUGAAGAAAAAUCUCAUCUCAUUAGGUGCCCUAGAAUCUAAAGGGCUCACAAUCACUUUGAGAGAUGGAUUACUAAAAGUAGUAGCUGGGCAACUGACGGUGAUGAAAGGCACAAGAAGAAAUAACUUGUAUUUUUUAAAUAGAAGUACAGUUAUUGGAUCAACAUCAACAGUUUCUACAAAAGAUGUAGAUUCAGAGGCUACCAGAUUAUGGCAUAUGCGAUUGGGACAUGCUGGUGAAAAAGCUUUGCAGACAUUGGUGAAGCAAGGCUUAUUGAAAGGUGCAAAUUCUUGCAAAAUGGAAUUCUGUGAACAUUGUGUUCUGGGCAAGCAGAAGAGGGUAAAAAUUGGUCCAGCAAUUCACAAUACGAAAGGAAUUCUGGACUACGUUCACAGUGAUGUGUGGGGACCUACCAAAGUAGCUUCUUUGGGAGGUAUGCACUAUUUUGUUACUUUUGUUGAUGAUUAUUCAAGAAAAGUAUGGGUGUAUCUAAUGAAAAGAAAAAGUGAAGUUUUGGAUGCAUUUCUGAAAUGGAAGAAGAUGGUGGAGACUCAGACUGGUCGAAAGGUCAAACGACUUCGAUCAGAUAAUGGUACUGAGUACAAAAACGAUCCAUUUCUACAAGUACGCCAAGAUGAGGGCAUUGUGCGACACUUCACUAUUCGGGAUACACCACAGCAAAAUGGGGUGGCAGAACGAAUAAAUCGAACUAUACUGGAGAAAGUUCGAUGUAUGUUGUCCAAUGCUGGAUUGGGCAAAGAAUGUUGGGCUGAGGCAGUUACAUAUGCGUGCCAUCUAAUUAACUGUUUGCCAUCAGUUGCAAUAAAUGGAAAAACUCCUAUGGAGAUGUGGACUGGUAAAUCUGCUACUGAUUAUGAUUCUUUGCAUGUAUUUGGUUCCACUGCAUAUUAUCAUGUAAAAGAAUCUAAGUUAGACCCAAGAGCAAAGAAAGCAUUAAUCUUGGGUAUAACUGAUGGAGUAAAAGGAUAUCGUCUCUGGUGUCCUGAUACAAGGAAGAUUGUUUUCAGUAGAGAUGUGACUUUUGAUGAAUCAACCAUGUUGAAGUACAAGGAUUCACAAAAGGAUGACAAAACCAGUAGCACUUUGUAGCAGGUGGAGCUUGAAAAGGUUAACGAUGAUCCAGCUAAUAUUGAAGGGACAAAUGAUGAAGAGGUUCCUACCCAAGAAUCUCUACAGCAACAAGAUUCAAUUGCAUAUAGAAGGCCAAGAAGAGAGAUUCGUAAGCCUGCUCGCUUUGAUGAUAUAAUGGCCUAUGCACUUCCAAUUACAGAUGAUGAUGUUCCUUCUACUUACACAGAAGUAAUAAGUAACCCUGAUGGUGUAAAGUGGAAGCAAGCAAUGAAUGAAGAAAUGCAGUCUCUUCAUAAAAAUAAGACCUAGGAGUUGGUGGCACUACCCAAGGGAAAGAAGGCAAUUGGAUGCAAAUGGGUAUAUGCAAAGAAGGAAGGAUUUCCUAAUAAAAAUGAAAUUCGAUACAAGGCUAGAUUAGUAGCAAAGGGUUACGCUCAGAAAGAAGGAAUAGACUACAAUGAAGUGUUUUCUCCAGUUGUGAAGCAUUCGUCUAUUCGGAUCUUGCUAGCCUUGGUUGCGCAAUAUGAUCUUGAACUAGUUCAGCUUGAUGUGAAGACCGCGUUUUUACACGGUGAUUUGGAAGAGGAAAUCUAUAUGACUCAGCCAGAUGGAUUCAAGGUUGCUGGAAAAGAAAAUUGGGUUUGCAAACUGACAAAGUCGCUUUAUGGAUUGAAGCAAUCUCCAAGGCAGUGGUACAAGCGAUUUGAUCAGUUCAUGAAAGGGCAAAGGUACACAAGAAGUAAAUUUGAUCAUUGCGUGUAUUUUCAGAAGCUACAAGAAGGAACUUUCAUAUACUUUCUCUUAUAUGUUGAUGAUAUGCUAAUAGCAUCUAAGAGCAAAGUUGAGAUUGAAAGAUUGAAGACUCAACUCAAUCUCGAGUUUGAGAUGAAAGAUUUAGGAGAAGCUAAAAAGAUUCUCGGCAUGGAAAUUUGGAGAGAUAGAGCUCAUGAUAGAGUUAGCUUGUCUCAGAAGCAGUAUUUGAAAAAGGUACUACAGCAGUUUGGCAUGAACGAGCAGACAAAACCUGUAAGUACCCCGUUGGCUUCUCAUUUCAAGCUUUCUGCACAACUAUCUCCUUCGACGAAUACGGAACGAGAAUACAUGUUGCAAGUUCCGUAUUCUAAUGCAGUGGGUAGCUUGAUGUAUGCAAUGGUGUGUACAAGACCCGACAUUUCACAGGCAGUUAGUAUAGUGAGCAGGUAUAUGCAUAAUCCUGGAAAAGGACAUUGGCAAGCUGUGAAAUGGAUUCUACGGUAUAUUCAUAAGACCAUGGAUAUUGGAUUACUGUUCAAGCAGGAUACUACACUUGGUAAAGGUGUUGUUGGGUACGUUGAUUCUGAUUAUGCCGGUGAUUUGGACAAACGAAGAUCAACCACUGGUUAUGUGUUUACUCUUGCUGAAGGACCAAUAAGUUGGAAGUCUACACUGCAGUCUACAGUUGCGUUGUCAACCACAGAAGCUGAAUACAUGGCUGUAACAGAGGCUGUAAAGGAAGCUAUUUGGUUACAAGGUAUGGUUAAAACCUUGGGAUUGGUCCAGGAGCAUAUUAAUGUGUAUUGUGAUAGUCAAAGUGCUAUUCAUUUAGCAAAGAAUCAAGUCUAUCAUGCACGUACAAAGCAUAUCGAUGUACGUUUCCACUUUGUGCGGGAAAUUAUUGAUGAGGGGAAAAUUCACCUUCAAAAGAUUAAGACUGCAGAUAAUCCCGCAGAUAUGAUGACCAAGGUGGUAACAACAAUCAAGUUCGAACAUUGUUUGAACUUGAUCAAUAUUCUGCAUGUUUAACAGUUGAAGAAGGCACUAUCAAGUGUUGUUGACAAAGGCAGAGAGAAUUGUGUGAAGAUAAGAUUACUCGAAUCAAAUCUUCAAGGUGGAGAUUAUUGGGAAUUAUCCAUAUUUAUGGAAAAUCAAAGAUAUGGGUAUCAAAUAUUGGAAAGUCAAAGAUAUGGGUAUCAAAUAUUGGAAAGUCAAAGAUAUGGGUAUCGAGAUAUUGGCAUAAUAAAAUCUGAGAUAUUUGCAAUAUAUGGUCCCUAAUUGUAAAGUGACUUUGCAAGUUGAUCCCUGAACCUCAACUAUAAAUAGGCAUAACCAUCUCUCAUUCUGUAUCUCAAACUUGCCAUUCUCUACUUAAGGCAUUGUUUUCUCUCUCUCUCUUUGUAAAUUCUCACUUGUAUUUUGGAGUGAAAUAUAUUUGGUAGUGCCCGAGGACGUAGGCAAAAUUUGCUGAACCUCGUUAAAUUCUUGUGUUCUUUAUUGUAUUAUUCUGCAUGAAUUGUGUGUGUGAUUGUAGUGAUUUAUUGUGCUAUUAAAUUACGAUUGAGGGAUAUUCUGGCUAGGAAAGACCUGGUACUUAAGCGAUCCUUGUGAUCCACCUCUCUUUCCUGGGAAUUGAACUUAGUGUGAUUUUUUAGUACAAUAAUUUUACUCUUUUACACGCUUCCGCACAACAGAUAUGUAUAUAAAUAUAUUACAAAUAUAAGAUAAAUGAAACUAAAUACAUUUCAAAUAUAAAAUAUUCAUUAAUAAAUUGAACAAAUAAAAAUUUAUCAUUCAAAUAAAUCUAAAAGUAUUAAUAACAAUCCAUCAUUUAAUAUGAAAUUUUAUGGAUUUAGCUCAUUUACUUAAUAAAAGAAGCUAAAAGGUGAACGAAUAUAUUUUUUCUUUGAUAAUCAGGUGAACGGUUUUUUCUUAAUUAUAUUUUGAAUGUGAAAGUAUAUUCCAUUUUUUAAAAAACUUUACAUUCCGAUGUAACAUUUUUAAUUAGUCACGUUUCAAUUAAGUUUUUAGCAUAAUAGUAAAUAAUUAAAAGUUUAAUAUUUUUAAUAUUAUUCAUGCACAGGACGGUGCAUUAUGUUCUGGCAAGUGUGACAGGAAUUGAUCGGAAUGAGUUGGUGCAAUUGGUACGGACCGAAAUUUUAACCAGUGUAGAAAAAGCGUGUUGGGUGUUUCGCAAUGUUAUUGAAACCAAACUAAACAGACCAAGAACCGAUGAACCCGAGGACUAGAGCAAGCUGCAGUUAAACUACAAAUCAUCAGCUGGUUAAGCCGUAUUUUAACAUUUUCUAAACUGGAAAACUGAAAAUUUCACUUCAAAUCGCUUGAGCUUUUGUCACACUUCUUCUCUGCACUCAAUGAAAUAAAACACAGCAUAAAAAUAUAAGCACCAUUUCUUUUAUUACUUUUUCUACUAAAAUAAGUUUUUUUUUUCUCGUAAAAAACCUAAGAUGGGGAGAAGAUUUUAAAAUUCAAAACCUUCGAAAUAUAUGAGUUUGAGGUUGUUAAUAUUAUUUUAUAUUUUUGAAUAGUAAAUUAAUUGUAUUGGUGGUUUAACUUAUUGGAUCGAGAAUUAAUGAUUUGAUUGAUUUGAGUUUGUGCUGCUCACUAUCUAGAUUGCAUUUAUCAUUUAAUUCUUUUUUUAAUUAGCCAAAAUCAUGUUAACAAUUCAUGGACCGAACAUCAAUAUAUAAAUACACAAACAAAUAUAAUGGGAAUUGGAGAACUCCCAUUUAUGCAAACAAAUAUAAGUGGACAAAUUCAAUACUCAUAAUAAAUACACAAAGAUGACUAAAAACAUUAUUAAACCAGAUCCAGUAUGCAGCAUACAAGAAAAGGGGGUAUUUCAAGGAGUAGAACGAGAAGGUGGUGGAGAAAAGGAAGGAAUAGAGGGAACUGCAGUUGGGAUUGAGGGAAUGCUUGGCAGAGGCGGCAGUCCUCUUGGCAAUGUGGUAGGAAGUGGAGGAAGCGCCCCAGGGUUUGGGAGAUUAGGGAAAGAUGGCAAUGGUGGAAAAGAGAAAGGAAUAGGGGGAAUUGCAGUUGGGAUUGUGGGGACUGAGGGAAUGCUUGGCAGAGGGGGCAGUCCUGUUGGGAAUGUGGUAGGAAGUGGAGGAAGUGCCCCAGGCCAUGAGAAUGAUGGUCGGGAUGGCGUUGGGAGAUUAGGGAAAGAUGGUAAACUUUGCGUUCGAGGCUGCUGCAGAAGGUGACGAGCUGCUACCCCAACAUCAAUGCCUGCAAAUGACAAAGCAAUCAAGAAUGCUAAAGCAAAGCAAUUGAAAGAGGCCAUUUUUGUUCAAAGAUUUCGAAACAAAUGAAGCAGAUGAAACGAAGUUCUUUAUCUGAAUAGUUGUGAGUGAGGAAAACAAAGCAUGGUAUUGAGGUUUAUAUAGGCAUUGGAGUAGUGAAUAGAAAUCCCCUGCCCUUAAACAAUGCCCCAUGCAUGCCCCCAAACCAAAUUAGCGCCACAUGUUUUUUAUUUUUUCCAUUUUAAUUGUAGUUCAUUUUUUAAAUAAAAAAUUUAUAAUGAUUUGAAUUAAUUUUUAACUUAUUAUCAACGUUUUUAUUUUUGUUUUAUUUUUAUUUUACAUUAAUUUUACCUAUUAUUUAAUUAACAAAUUUAUAAUGACUUAGAGUUUAUCUAAUAGAGGUUUUUUUUUAUAAUCGGUCUUAUGAAAAAAUUUUAUAUGGUGGGAACAAGUCCCACAGUGACAACAUGAUCCUUCAAUAUUUGGUGGUGGCAUGCCUUUAGUCAAAGGAUCAGCUAACAACUGCUCAAUGCUAAUGUGCUCAAUGACCAAUUUCUUUUCUUUAACAUGUUCCCUCAUGCCUAGGUACUUAAAGUCGAUAUGUUUACUUCGACUUCCACUUCUUCCGUUCUUAGCCAUAAAGACAGCAGUUGAAUUGUCACAAUAUAUGAAAUAAUCAAAACCCAUAAUGACUCAGCCCAAAAAUCUCGAGCUUCAAACCCAAAUUAAAUUAAAUCAAAACCAUAAUUUAUUAUGUACAAUUGCACAAAAUUAAUAUAAUUUAAGUGUGUCAUACUGCACAUUAAAUUAAAAUUUACGUUUGACAUUAUAGAUAAUAUUCACGUGUAAAAUUUUGAGAUUUAUUCCCUUAAUUAAAGUAAUAUGUCAAAUAGAAUACUUGAACAAUCCUCCAUGUUGGCAAAGUUUAUGUACAGUAGUAGAAGCGAACUAAAUAAUUAGAAUAACUCUAAAGUAUGGCUUACAUAUAAUUUAUUCACAAUGUGACUUAAACUUUGUCCUUCAAGAUUUCACGGUCUCAAUUUAUGUCUUAAAAUUUUAAGAUUAUUUUAGGUUUGUUAAAAAAUUAAAAGUUUAGAAAGUUAGAAUUGUUGCUUGAGGCGUGAAUAUCUUUAUUCUUUAGGAUAUUUGCGGAUUUACCAUCUCUCGGGAUUUUGUUUGUAUCAUGCACAAUGAAAAAAUUGAAAAAAAAAAUUUCACAUUUGAAUGGAAUUGAGCUGUUAGGCUCAAGCCUCAUGUGCGCAUAUAUAUUCUCUUAUUUUGAGUCUUACAAGUUUAUAGUAAACCAAAUCUAUAUAAACAUCAUUUCAUUAGGUCAAUCUAAAAUAUGUUUAAUAUGUGUAAUUCUUUAAAAUAGAUGAAAACUUCAAAUAUGGUUUAGGUCAUUUUCAGAUUUGUCUUAUUUUAGGUUCAAAUCAUUCGAAUUUGAGGCUAAGUUUUUCAUGUCUAAUCAUUAUUGAUCCGAAUCAUUUUAGAUUUUGAUCAUUUUAAGUUCCAAUUAUUUUGUGAUCAAAUCAUUUCAAGUUUAGAUAAAUUUGGGUCGAUUCGAAUUUGACUUAAUUACGUAGUUAACUUUUUUUAUAAUAAAUUGAGCUGAAUGAAAGUUAGAUUGGAAUUUAUUUAGUGUGCCUUUGUGUUUAAUUCGAAAUUUAAACAUCUCCCUUCGAAAUAAACAUGUUAAGACAAUUUUAUUUAAACGACAAUAAUACAACAUAGUUGAUUUGGGAGAUAAACAUGUUAAUUUUUUAAUCCCAACCAAAAUUGUACAUAAUUCUUUUAUGUCAUAUUAAAUACAUGUAGCGUCUUAUAAAAAUUGUCAAUAAAUUAUGCCUAGCGACAACGUUAUUCAACUCUAAUUUCAUUGUUAAUACCUAUUUCUAUUUUUCUUCUACUGUCUUCAACUUUAAAUAUAAAGGGAUUGGAAUUUUAAGAAUUGAGAUUUCUUUUCUCUGUAUUAGUGGACGUUUGAUUUUUUGUUUGAUUGUUUUUUUUACUGGAAUUGACACAUAUCUUUUCAGAUUUAUCAAUAUUUUAAAAUUUAUUUAAGAUAUGUAUAUAAAUAUAUUACAAACGUAAUGGCCCAAUAUUGCCCGGCCCGAUAAUAAAAUAUGAUAAAAUAAAUAAAGGUCCAAUGUCCAGCUUUUACAAACCCAAAAUCAAUACGGCCCAAUUAGCCUAAACCCAAUUAGCUUUAACCCAAACUCUAGCCUAGCCCAAAACCCAAUUUAGCCCAAGACUCUUCCCAAACCCCGAAAACCCUAGCAGCAACAGGAGCCUCCUUCCAGCGCUGCAACCAUAAGCUGGGCUUCUCCACGCACACACUGCCACGCACAUCUCUGUACGACCACCUCCAUACCUCCAGGCUGGCCGAAUACCUGCAAAAAAAAACGCACGGAAACAACAGCAAACAGAAAAACAACAGCAUAGAGGUGAAUUUUUAAUUAUUUUUUCAUUUUAUUUUUUGUAAAUCGGGAUAUAAGAAAGCCAUUCGAAUACUGUAACGGGAUUUACGCAUUCAAUAUACAAAGAAAUUGAGAAUACAAAAGAAUCAAAAAAGCAGAGAAAGGUGAUUUUCUGGGUUUUUUUAUUCCUUUCUAUCUUGUUGGUUACUUGAUUUUUUUUCUUUACUUUUUUAAUUUGUACAUUCAUCAAUCGUUGUUUAAAAAAGAAAUAGGAAAAUGAAAGGGAGGGAAACGUACCUGGUAGCGCGAUCCUGGCUCUCUCCGGCGUCAUUGGAGCAGGGGCUGGGAUCAAUGACUGCUCGAGUACCUUCAAUACCCAGAACGGCGCUGAGUUUUUUUUUCCGUUUAGGUUUUUGUUUUAAUGUAAAGAUAGGUUUUUAGGGUUUAUUUAGUUUUAAGCGAAGGAAUUAAAAUGUCGAUGUUUAAAGUCGAUGCAAUGACUUUGAAACAGCGUCGUUUUAGAGACCAGAUCCGAACGGUGACCCGAUCCGAGAAGGAUCCGUGCAUUAUGGAUCAUUUGGUCUAUUUGUUCAAUAGAUCCAUCUAUGUUUAAUGGAAUUGCGAUUUGAUUUCUUUUAAUUUUUUGUAAUUCGUACUGCAUAUUUUGUUCUGUUUUCAUUUAUCUGUUUUCAUUUAGAUCCAGAUUGAAACGGUAUCGUUUGCUGCAUUUGACUUUGAUUAUUCUAAGCUUUUAGGUUUAAUUGUCGAUUCAGUCCUCCAAUUUUGAAAUAAAUUUUAAUUUAACAUGAGUUUAGCCUUUUAAAAAAAAAGAAAUGAAUAGCAUUUUUUUAAUUAUAAUUAAUCCUAUUUUCGUACAUUAUAAAAUCUAACAUUAUUUGUACUAUUUGAUUUUGAUGUUUUUAAAUCUACAAUUAUUAUAACUUAAGAUAUAAUAGAUCAUUGUUUUAGUUUAUAUCCUAUACUUUAAAUUUAUUAUAUAAUAAUAUUUUGAAUCUACCAUAUUUAUUUAAUUUUGUCUUUUCCUUUUGGUUCCAUUUUAAGUCCCGAUUUUAAAUUUAUUAAUAUUUUCAUUAUAAUUGUUUUUAUUACUCUUCUAAAUUGUUUUAUUAUAUUUAAUUUUGUCUUCAAAAAGUGUUUUUUAAAACAAAUUAAUUCUUAAUUUUAAUUCAUUUUCUAACAUUAUUUUGGUAUUUAGUAUGAUAUUAUUCUCAAAUUUAUUAUUAGUACAUUUUUUAAAAAUAAUACAUUAUUUGUUUAAAUUAUUAUCAAUAUGUUUUAAUUUUAUCAAUAUUAUUUUAAAAAUAUAUAUGAUUUAUAUGAAAUUAUUCUAGUAUAUAUGUAUAUAGAUUACAUCAUUAACUUUGGAUUAACCUCUUUUACAUAAUUUUUUAAAAAUGUUUUAUUCCUUAAACCUUCUUUAUUUUAUUCGUUUUAUAGGUUGCUAAAUUAUUAAUAUGGAUGUUUGUAUGACAUGAUUAAGAUCAAGGUUUAUAUUUUCCUAUUAUUUGUUUAAUUGCUUCUAGUUUAAGUUUAAGUUGUUAUUUAUCUUUUAUAUAUCGUUAUUCAAUCAUGUUUCAUUUGUAAGAGUUGAAUUUUAUUAAAGCAUCAUAAUUCCUAAAAAAGCUUGGUGUUUAAUAGUUCUCGAGAGAAUUGUGCCCUAACUUACUGGGCUUCAAUUCUUCUCGAUGAAUUUAUAUCAUCAAGUAUCCAUUUUAUAUAAUUUUAAAAUAAAAUUCUUUAGAUUUCAAAAUGUGGGAUCCUAACUUACUGGAUACGACAUUUUGUUAUCUCGAUUUUAAAAUAAAGGUAAUAUUUGAUGUUUAAGAAUUUCGAGAAAUUGAACCCUAACUUACUAGAUUCUGAUUUCUCGAUUGACUUAAAUAGUCAAAUAUCCUUCUUAAAACAUGUUUAAAAUUUUUUAAAAAGGGACGAACUUAACUUCGAAGAUUGAACUGUUGCACUCUAACUCACUGAGUGUGGCAAUUUGUUUCUUUGAAAUGGGUCCGUCCACUUAACCAAUUCAAUUGUUUAAGCUUUCAUUUCAUGGGAUCGUAUUUAAAAAUAUUUUCAAGUUUCGACACUAAGACAUUAAAUAACCAAUUCGGUACCAAUUUUGGGCGUUACAAGGGUGCUAACCCUUCCUCAUGCGUAACUGACUUUCGAACUUAUCUUCUCAAAAUUCGCAGACCAAAAAAAUUAUUUUCAUGGUGAUCCGAUCACACCUCAACAAAAAUUGGUGGCGACUCCAAUUUUCAUUUUUUAAAGUCGACUACUAAUAAAUUUUUGUGUUCAAAAAAUGGUUUCGAUAGCUUGGCGACUCCACUGGGGACUAUAAGAGAGUCAAGCCGAAAAAUCGAUUGUUUCCUGUCUUAUCGUCGAAAAUUAAAAAUUUGAUUUGAAAAAUUACGAUCCUUUCUUUGCAUUUGUUUGUAUGAUUACGGUUUUAUACCUUGGCAUCAUAUUGCAUAAAGACUGUUUAGUCUUACCCUUUAAGUGGGAGUGAGUAGCUAUUCCUUCAUGAGGUUUUCACCUCCGUACAGGAUAGUGAAUCACUUUCGGGAUACAUCCGUACCUAUGUCUUUGUGAGAUUUUCAUCUCCGUGCAGCCAUAGGGAAAUGUAUUCCCCCGAACCAAACUCGGUCUGUAUGAGCCUAUAAUGGGUGAAGAUCGAGGAAUCUGUUGGUUCGGGUACCUCAACUUUAGAACCAAACCCCAUAUAGUGGACUUAGAAGCUCAACCUAGUUAGAACUAUUCCAAUCUCUCGUGAUUGCCUAGAUAGAUGAUUGUGUUUCUUAUACUUGAUUUGAAUUUUGUUUUUGUGUUGUACUGACUUGUUUAUGUUUUGUUGAUAUUGUUGCAUGUCACUGCAUAGUUCAAAGAGUGUCGAUUCAAGUUCAGUUACUAAAUUAGAAAACCGUUAUGGCAAACGAAUUUCUGGAUAAAGUGGAGGAUAACGCCAUUGUCAGUAUAUGGUCAGAGAAUGUGCAAUUGGAAAAAGGAGACAAUUUAUCUAAGGGAUACGUGUCAGAGCUUUGGGACUACACUCGUAUUAGUGUGACACAAAAUAGCCUUCAGGAGUUAAAUGAGAUUUGGGAUCGGUGGAAUGAUGAAACCAAGCAGUUGUUCUACUCUAAUUACGGGGACUUGCAGUACUUACUUAAAAUCAAGGUGGAUGAAAGACUGUUUCGCGCUCUCGCUCAAUAUUGGAAUCCUGCAUAUAGUUGUUUUACUUAUGGGAACGUAGAUUUGGUGCCCACAGUGGAGGAAUAUACAGCUUUACUACACUGCCCUAGGCUUCAGGUUGAUAAAGCAUAUUCUAGAGCCGCAUAUGUCCCAGCGUUUUGGAAGAAAUUAAUGAGUAUUACCGGAAUGAGCGAAUAAUGGAUCACGGCCAAGAUCAAACAGAAGGGCGAGUGUAAAUGUAUCCCAUGGAGGAAUUUGCGAGACUUGAUCCUAGCACAUCCUGAUGGGAAAAAGAAAGUUGAUGUGUUUGCUUUGAGUAUCUACGGGUUAGUGAUUUUCCCUAGAGCAUUGGGGCAUGUUAACGAAGUGGUUUCAGAUCUUUUUGAUCGGUUGGGUAAAGGGGUCAAGUCUGUUCCUGCGAUUUUGGCUGAAACGUUUAGAUCUUUGAAUGCGUGUAGGCAUGCUGGUGAAGGCAGAUUUAUAGGUUGUGCGCAAUUGUUGAUAGCUUGGUUCCAUAGUCAUUUCUUGAAGGUCGACAAAGUUUCGUAUCGGGUUUUCUCUGGGCAUUACUCCCCGUUAAAAGAGAUAGUGGCUACGCCAAGAAAGGACGAUAUUUCAGAAGAAAAUUGGAUAGCAAUUCUGUAAAAUCUUCAAGAGGAUGAUGUGGAGUGGAGAGCUCAUUGGUUGAUUCCUGAUGGAAUUCUCUACCGUUGUGAAAGCUUUGACUGGGUUUCGUUGCUUGGGAUUUGGGGAGCCGUCGGGUAUGCACCUUUGCUGGUCCUAAGGCAAUACAAUUCAAGACAGUUUGUGCCGGCAAUGUAUGGUUUAGCUCAAUGUGAGUUCUUGUACCGAGGAGACAAUUACAAGAAAAAGGUGAAAGAAAUUUCUCAGGCUUGUAAUGAGGUUCAUAGGAUGAAAAGGCUAGCUAUGGGUUCGAUGACAACUCCAGAGUAUGGUGAGUGGCGACGUAAAAUAAUUAAUGAUAGCAUUCUGGAGUUAAACUUGGAGGGUGUUCGACUAAUGGAAGAGUACCUACAAGUGAUCCCAUCAGAGUUGGAGAUUAUAAAACAAGAUUUUGAAAAGAGGAAUUUAGAACUUGAAAAGAAAAUAGAGCGGUUGGAAGAAGAGAAGAUGCAUUUGAGGCUAGAUAUUGACGUCCAAAAGUUAAAAGCUGAAAAAUUAAAGAAGUGGAAGAAUAAAGUAGAGGAGGAUCUGGAUAGCUUAAAGACGGACUACAAAAGGCUACGAGUAUCAAUGAGAACUGCUGGGCUGGGAAAGAAUUCAGAGCAGUGGCGACAGGAGAUCUAGGAAGAAAGAAACAAAGUCGAUCGGUGGGAAAGAAAGUCCUGGGAGGCUCAAGUUCAGAACGAGACCUUAGAACGGCAUGUGUUAGAAACUCAAAACUAUUAAGUGGACUUAAAAGCUAGAAUAGCAGAACUAAAGAGAUCACUUGCUGCGUAUAGAAGUCGUAAUUCUGUAGUGGAAUUAAAGAUAAGUCUGUGCAAGAUUGAAGAAAUGAAAAAGAGGAUAGAAGAAUUGGAGUAUGCAUUACAAGGCUGUAAAAAACGGAUCGAAUCCUUGGAAGGAAAUGAAGAGCGUUAGAGGGAGCAAAUUUAUCAUUCGCAGAAUCAAAUUUAGAAUAGAGAUUACAUUAUGGGCAGAGCUAUUGCUCAGAUUCGGGAGGUAGGUGAUCAUUUGCAAACAAUGGCAAUUCAGGCUGACGUGUUAAACGUAAAGUAUGAACUGGAAUCAGAUCGAGGGCAGGAGUUAGCUUCGCUGUUGAAGGAAGUUAAAGCUUUGAGUAUUAGGGCAAAGGCAUACUUGUAAUUCAUUUUAUGUAAAGAAUUUUGUUUAUCAAUAAAUUUUUCUAAAGGAAAUUGGAUCAGAAUCGACGCUCUUUUUGCAUUGAUUUCAUGCAUUUGCAUUACAUGACAUCAUAUGCAUUCAAGACUAUUAAGAAGAGGUUUUAAUUGGUUAAAAUUGUGCUUCAGUUAAUCUGGAAACCAGUAAAAAUUCAUCAAUCAAGCACCACUACGGUACCCGUGCGAAAUCAAAAAUUAUGGAUCAAAGAUUGGAAAAGCUUGAGCGCUUUCAAAAGGAAAUGCAAGAUCAAAUGAAAGAACAAAUGGAAAAGAUUCAGCAUGACAUGAUACAAAAGAUGCAGGAGUCUUAAAAUGACAUGAUGACUAAGUUGACGCAAUUAAUAACCAGAGGAGUAGAUAAAGGGAAAGGUCCUGUGAUUUGUAAUGAAGAAGAAAACAAUGAUGAACCACUUUUUCCUCCAGGUUUUACGCCUCCGCACGCGCAAGUUUAGACUGAACUGCAUCCGCGGAGACCUUCUGUUUCGAUUAGGCCUCAGCAUUUUCAAGGGGAUGUUUCAAUGCCGAAGACCUUUCAGGUCGGAUCUGGCUCUAAUCUUGGUGAUAAUUUGAAUAAUAUUGUUGUCCCGUAUUUCGAUAAAGUAGCUGAGAAGGAUAAGGUGAAGGAAGAGUUUCCAAAGCAGUUUGAGGAGAAAUAGAAAUGGAUUGAAGAGAAAUUUAGAACGAUGGAAAGCAUUGAAAGCUAUGGUGGAAUAGAUGAAAAAAAUCUGAGUCUGGUUUCGAAUUUGGUACUUUAUUACAAGUUUAAGAUGUCAGAAUUUGAGAAAUACAAUGGGACCAGUUGCCCUGAGGCCCAUAUCACCAUGUUCUGUAGGAGAAUAACGGGGUAUAUUAAUAAUGACCAAUUAUUAAUACAUUGCUUUCAGGAUAGUCUUACAAGGGCGGCGUCAAAAUGGUAAAAUCAGCUGAGCCGAACCAAAAUCGCUACUUGGAGGGAUUUGGCACAGGCUUUCAUGAGACAGUACAAUCAUGUAUUACAAAUGACGCCUAAUCGAAUAACUUUACAGAAUUUGGAGAAAAAAUCAAACGAAAGCUUCAGACAGUAUGCGCAGCGAUGGAGGGAAAUCGCAGUUCAGGUUCAGUCAGCACUUGUGGAAAAGAAAAUGACAAUGCUUUUUAUCAAUACAUUGAAAGCCCCGUUCAUUACUCACAUGUUGGGAAGUGCUUCAAAGAACUUCUCGGAUAUAAUCAUGAAUGGUGAAAUGAUUGAGCAUGCUAUUAAGAGUGGAAUAAUAGAUGGAGGGGAGAAUAAUAGAAGGACAGCCCCAAAGAAAAGAGAAAAUGAAGUGAGCAAUGUGAGCGGAUACGGCAGGUCAAUUACGGUUAAUCAACCAGGAAAGGCAGUUGCUAAUCAAUAAAGCUCAUCAAGACAAGAAGUAGGAGGGAGGUAAAACACUAAAAAACCCUAGUUUACGCCAAUUUCGAUGUCAUACGAGGAGUUAUAUCAGAAUUUAUUUAAUGCAUAUGGUGUUUCCCCUCAUUAUUUGACCCCUUUACAACCCCCUUAUCCCAAAUGGUACGAUAUAAAUGCACAAUGUGACUAUCAUGCGGGAAUCUCGGGGCAUUCAAUAGAGAAUUGCAUAACUUUCAAGAAGGUAGUGGAAAAACUCAUCCGCAUGAGUGUUGUCAAAUUUGAUGACUCACCUAACGUAGAAAAUCCGUUACCUAAUCAUGCUGAUAAGGGAGUGAAUAUGAUGGGUGAAAGUAUGGGAGAAAAAGUCAAGAAUGACAUCGGUGAAGUAAAAACUCCAUUGAAACAAGUCUGGAAAGAGAUGGUGAAAAGAGGACUAGUCAUUUCAGAUUUUGAGGAAGAAGAUGAGGUUGAAAAAUAUUGUGAAUUCCACCGUGAAGUAGGACAUGAGAUUCAAGAAUGUGAAGAAUUUAAAGCUCUGGUCCAAAGCAUGAUGGAUAACAAGGAAAUGAAGUUCUAUGAGGAAACAGAGGAAGAAAGAAGCAUAUGCGCGUCGGAAUCAACAACGAAGAUUUCAAAAAUAAAUCAUCCUGUGGUCAUUAUUUCGCACCCUAAGAACAGUAAGGCUAAGGUCUAGGUAACACCAAAAAUUAUAAUCCAUAAGCCGUCAAAUUUCUCAUAUAAAGAUAGUAAAAUGGUUCCGUGGAAGUAUGGAUGCAAUGUGACAAUCUCAACGUUUUUAUUUUUGUUUUAUUUUUAUUUUACAUUAAUUUUACCUAUUCUUUAAUUAAAAAAUUUAUAAUGACUUAGAGUUUAUUUAAUAGAGUUUUUUUUUAUAAUCGGUCUUAUAAUAAAAUUUUAUAAGGUGGGACCAAGUCCCACAGUGACAACAUGAUCCCUCAAUUUUUGGUGGUGGGAUGCCUUUAGUCAAAGGAUCAACUAACAUCUGCUCAAUGCUAAUGUGCUCAAUGACCAAUUUCUUUUCAUUAACAUGUUCCCUUAUGCCUAGGUACUUAAAGUCGAUAUGUUUACUUCGACUUCCACUUCUUUCAUUCUUAGCCAUAAAGACAGCAGUUGAAUUGUCACAAUAUAUGAAAUAAUCAAAACCCAUAAUGACUCAGCCCAAAAAACUCGAGCUUCAAACCCAAAUUAAAUUAAAUCAAAACCAUAAUUUAUUAUGUACAAUUGCACAAAAUUAACAUAAUUUAAGUGUGUCAUACUGCACAUUAAAUUAAAGUUUACGUUUGACAUUAUAGAUAAUAUUCACGUGUAAAAUUUUGAGAUUUAUUCCUUUCAUUAAAGUAAUAUGUCAAAUAGAAUACUUGAACAAUCCUCCAUGUUGGCAAAGUUUAUGUACAGUAGUAGAAGUGAACUAAAUAAUUAGAAUAAAUCUAAAGUAUGUCUUACAUAUAAUUUAUUCACAAUGUGACUUAAACUUUGUCCUUCAAGAUUUCACGGUCUCAAUUUAUGUCUUAAAAUUUUAAGAUCAUUUUAGGUUUGUUAAAAAAUUAAAAUUUUAGAAAGUUAGAAUUGUUGCUUGAGGCGUGAAUAUUCUUAUUCUUUAGGAUAUUUGUGGAUUUACCAUCUCUUAGGAUUUCGUUUGUAUCAUGCACAAUGAAAAAAUUGAAAAAAAAAUUUCCCAUUUGAAUGGAAUUGAGCUAUUAGGCUCAAGCCUAGUGUGCGCAUAUAUAUUCUCUUAUUUUGAGUCUUACAAGUUUAUAGUAAACCAAAUCUAUAUAAACAUCAUUUAAUAGGUCAAUCUAAAAUAUGUUUAAUAUGUGUAAUUCUUUAAAAUAGAUGAAAACUUCAAAUAUGGUUUAGGUCAUUUUCAGAUUUGUCUUAUUUUAGGUUCAAAUCAUUCGAAUUUGAGGCUAAGUUUUCCAUGUCUAAUCAUUAUUGAUCCGAAUCAUUUUAGAUUUUGAUCAUUUUAAGUUCCAAUUAUUUUGUGAUCAAAUCAUUUCAAGUUUAGAUAAAUUUGGGUCAAUUCGAAUUUGACUUAAUUACGUAGUUAACUUUUUUUUAUAAUAAAUUGAGCUGAAUGAAAGUUAGAUUGAAAUUUAUUUAGUGUGCCUUUGUGUUUAAGUCGAAAUUUAAACAUCUUCCUUCAAAAUAAACAUGUUAAGACAAUUUUAUUUUAAAGACAAUAAUACAACAUAGUUGAUUUGGGAGAUAAACAUGUUAAUUUUUUAAUCCCAACCAAAAUUGUACAUAAUUCUUUUAUGUCAUAUUAAAUACAUGUAACGUCUUAUAAAAAUUGUCAAUAAAUUAUGCCUAGCGACAACGUUAUUCAACUCUAAUUUCAUUGUUAAUACCUAUUUCUAUUUUUCUUCUACUGUCUUCAACUUUAAAUAUAAAGGGAUUGAAAUUUUAAGAAUUGAGAUUUCUUUUCUCUGUAUUAGUGGACGUUUGAUUUUUUGUUUGAUUGUUUUCUUUACUGGAAUUGACACAUAUCUUUUCAGAUUUAUCAAUAUUUUUAAAAUUUAUUUAAGAUAUGUAUAUAAAUAUAUUACAAACGUAAUGGCCCAAUAUUGCCCGGCCCGAUAAUAAAAAAUGAUAAAAUAAAUAAAGGUCCAAUGUCCAGCUUUUACAAACCCAAAAUCAAUACGGCCCAAUUAGCCUAAACCCAAUUAGCUUUAACCCAACUUAGCCCAAGACUCUCCUUAAACCCUGAAAACCCUAGGCAACAGGAGCCUCCUUCCAGCGCCGCAACCAUCAGCUGGGCUUCUCCAUGCACACGCUGCCACGCACAUCUCCGUACGGCCACCUCCGUACCUCCAGGCUGGCCGAAUACCUGUAAAAAAAACGCACGGAAACAACAGCAAAUAGAAAAACAACAGCAUAGGGGUGAAUUUUUAAUUAUUUUUUCAUUUUAUUUUCUGUAAAUCGGGAUAUAAGAAAGCCAUUCGAAUACUAUAACGGGAUUUACGCAUUCAAUAUACAAAGAAAUUGAGAAUACAAAAGAAUCAAAAAAGCAGAGAAAGGUGAUUUUCUAGGUUUUUUAUUCCUUUCUAUCUUGUUGGUUACUUGAUUCUUUUCUUUACUUUUUUAAUUUGUACGUUCAUCAAUCGUUGUUUAAAAAAGAAAUAGGAAAAAGAAAGGGAGGGAAACGUACCUGGUAGCGCGACCCUGGCUCUCUCCGGCGUCAUCGGAGCAGGGGCUGGGAUCAAUGACUGCUCGAAUACUUUCAAUACCUAGAGCGGCGCUGAGUUUUUUUUCGUUUAGGUUUUUGUUUUAAUGUAAAGAUAGGUUUUUAGGGUUUAUUUAGUUUUAAGUGAAGGAAUUAAAACGUCGACGUUUAAAGUCGAUGCAAUGACUUUGAAACAGCGUCGUUUUAGAGACCAGAUCCGAACGGUGACUUGAUCCGGGAAGGAUCCAUGCAUUAUGGAUCAUUUGGUCUAUUUGUUCAAUAGAUCCCUCUAUGUUUAAUGGAAUUGCGAUUUGAUUUCUUUUAAUUGUUUGUAAUUUGUACUGCAUAUUUUGUUCUGUUUUCAUUUAGAUCCAGAUUGAAAUGGUAUCGUUUACUGCGUUUGACUUUGAUUAUUCGGAGCUUUUGGGUUUAAUUGUCGAGUCAGUCCUCCAAUUUUGAAAUAAAUUUUAAUUUAACAUGAGUUUAGCCUUUUAAAAAAGAAGAAGAAGAAAUCAAUAGCAUUUUUUAAUUAUAAUUAAUCCUAUUUUCGUACAUUAUAAAACCUAACAUUAUUUGUAAUAUUUGAUUUUUAUGUUUUUAAAUCUACAAUUAUUAUAACUUAAGAUAUAAUAGAUCAUUGUUUUAGUUUAUAUCCUAUACUUUAAAUUUAUUAUAUAAUAAUAUUUUGAAUCUACCAUAUUUAUUUAAUUUUGUCUUUUCCUUUUGGUUCCAUUUUAAGUCCCGAUUUUAAAUUUAUUAAUAUUUUCAUUAUAAUUGUUGUUAUUACUCUUCUAAAUUGUUUUACUAUAUUUAAUUUUCUCUUCAAAAAGUGUUUUUUAAAACAAAUUAAUUCUUAAUUUUAAUUCAUUUUCUAACAUUAUUUUGGUAUUUAGUAUGAUAUUAUUUUCAAAUUUAUUAUUAGUACAUUUUUUAAAAUAAUACAUUAUUUUUUUAAAUUAUUAUCAAUAUGUUUUAUUUUAUCAAUAUUAGUUUAAAAAUAUAUAUGAUUUAUAUGAAAUUAUUCUAGUAUAUAUGUAUAUAGAUUACAUCAUUAACUUUAGAUUAACCUCUUUUACAUAAUUUUUUUAAAAUGUUUUAUUCCUUAAACCUUAUUUAUUUUAUUUGUUUUAUAGGUUGUUAAAUUAUUAAUAUGGAUGUUUGUAUGACAUGAUUAAGAUCAAUGUUUAUAUUUUCCUAUUAUUUGUUUAAUUGCUUCUAGUUUAAGUUUAAGUUGUUAUUUAUCUUUUAUAUAUCGUUAUUUAAUCAUGUUUUAUUUGUAAGAAUUGAAUUUUAUUAAAGCAUCAUAAUUCCUAAAAAAGCUUGGUGUUUAAUAGUUCUCAAGAGAGUUGUGCCCUAACUUACUGGGCUUCAAUUCUUCUCGAUGAAUUUAUAUCAUCAAGUAUCCACUUUAUACAAUUUUAAAAUAAAAUUCUUUAGAUUUCAAAAUGUGGGAUCCUAGCUUACUGGAUACGACAUUUUGUUAUCUCGAUGUUAAAAUAAAUGCAAUAUUUGAUGUUUAAAAAUUUCAAGAAAUCGAACCCUAACUUACUAGAUUCUGAUUUCUCGAUUGACUUAAAUAGUCAAAUAUCCUUCUUAAAACAUGUUUAAAAUUUUCAAAAAAGGGACGAACUUAACUUCGAAGAUUGAACUGUUGCACUCUAACUCACUGAGUGUGGCGAUUUGUUUCUUUGAAAUGGGUCCGUCCACUUAACCAAUUCAAUUGUUUAAGUUUUCAUUUCAUGGGAUCGUAUUUAAAAAUCUUUUCAAGUUUCGACACUAAGACAUUAAAUAACCAAUUCGGUACCAAUUUUGGGCGUUACGAGGGUGCUAACCCUUCCUCGUGUGUAACCGACUUCCGAACUUAUCUUCUCAAAAUUCGCAGACCAAAAAACUUGUUUUCAAGGUGAUCCGAUCACACCUCAACAAAAAUCGGUGGCGACUCCAAUUUUCAUUUUUUAAAGUCGACUACUAAUAAAUUUUUGUUUUCAAAAAAUGAUUUCGACAACAAAUAUAAAAUAAAUGAAACUAAAUACAUUUCAAAUAUAAAAUAUUCAAUAAUAAACUUAACAAAUAAAAAUUUAUCAUUGAAAUAAAUCCAAAAUUAUUAAUAACAAUCCAUCAUUUAAUAUGAAAUUUUAAAGAUUUAGCUCAUUUACUUAAUAAGAGAAGCUGAAAGGUGAACGAAUAUAUAUUUCUUUUAGAAUCAGGUGAACGGUUUUUUCUUAACUAUAUUUUGAAUGUGAAAGUAUAUUCCAUUUUUUAAAAACUUUACAUUUCCAUGUAGCAUUUUUAGUUAGUUACGUUUCAAUUAAGUUUUUAGCAUAAUAGUAAAUAAUUAAAAGUUUAAUAUUUUUAAUAUUAUUCAUGCACAGGACGGUGCAUUAUGUUCUGGUAGGUGUGACAGGAAUUGAUCGGAAUGAGUUGGUGCAAUUGGUACAGACCGAAAUUUUGACCAGUGUAGAAAAAGCGUGUUGGGUGUUUUGCAAUGUUAUUAAAACCAAACUAAACAGACCAAGAACCGAUGAACCUGAGGACUAGAGUAAACUGUAGUUAAACUACAAAUCAUCAGUCGAUUAAGCCGUAUUUAAACAUUUUCUAAACUUGAAAAAUAAAAAAUUCACAUCAAAUCCCUUGAGCUUUUGUCACACUUCUUAUCUGCACUCAAUGAAAUAAAACACAACAAAAAAUAAGCACCAUUCCUUUUAUUACUUUUUCUACUAAAGUAAGUUUUUUUUUCUCGUAAAAAACCUAAGAUGGACUUAUAACAUUCAAUCAAAGGAAAAACAAAUUAGGAAAGUAGAAAGAUGGGGAGAGAGUUUUAAAAUUCAAAGCCUUUAAAAUUGAUAGAUGAGUUUGGGGUUAUUAAUAUUAUUUUAUAUUGUUGAAUAGAAAAUGAAUUGUAUUGGUGGUUGAAUGUGUGAGAUUAAGAAUUAAUGAUUUGAUUAAUUUGAUUAUCAAUCUAAUUUUAUAAAUAGUAAUAUUUCGAUAUAAAAUUGAAACAGUAGACACAAAUGAGCAUAACCGAAAUCUGUAACCACCUUAAUUUAAUACAUAAUUUGAGAUUCAUAUAAAAUAUUAUCUUUGAAAUAUAUUGAAAGAGGAAAGUAAUCGUACGUAAAUGCAUAACUUGGAAGAGAUAAUGAAGCAGGAAUCAUUAUAUUAACAGUGGUAUUUUCUCGAUGUACGGCUGCACAAUAUCUUGACCUGCAUUUCUCGUUUGAUUCUUUUCUUAAUUAGCUAAACUCAUGUUAACAAUGGUAUAACAGUAAUUAAUUACUUCAUGGACAGAACAUCAAUAUAUAAAUACCCCAUAUAUAAUAAGCAACAACGUAUCAAAAUACACCAAAUAAUGGGAACUGGAGAACGCCCAUUUAUACAAACAAAUAUAAGUAGGAAAAAUCAAUACUCAUAAUAAAGACACAAAGAGGACUAAAAACCUUAUUAAACUAGAUCCAGUAUGUAGCAUAACAGAAAAGGGGGCAUUUCAAGGAGUAGAACUAGAAGGUGGUGGAGAAAAGAAAGGAAUAGAGGGAACUGCAGCUGGGAUUGAGGGAAUGUUUGGAAGAGGCGGCAGUCCUCUUGGCAAUGUGGUAGGAAGUGGAGGAAGCGCCCCAGGGUUUGGGAGAUAAGGGAAAGAUGGCAAUGGUGGAAAAUAGAAAGGAAUAGGGGGAACAGCAGUUGGGAUUGUGGGGACUGAGGGAAUGCUUGGCAGAGGGGGUAGUCCUGUUGGCAAUGUGGUAGGAAGUGGAGGAAGCGCCCCAGGCCAUGGGAAUGAUUGUCGGGAUGGCGUUGGGAGAUUAGAGAAAGAUGGUAAACUUCGCGGUUGAGGCUGCUGCAGAAGGUGACGAGCUGCUACCCCAACAUCAAUGCUUGCAAAUGACAAAGCAAUCAAGAAUGCUAAAGCAAGGCAAUUGAAAGAGGCCAUUUUUGUUCAGAGAUUUCGAAACAAAUGAAGCAGAUGAAACAAAGUUCUUUAUCUGAAUAGUUGUGGGUGAAGAAAACAAAGCACGGUAUUGAGGUUUAUAUAGGCAUUGGAGCAAUGAAUAGAAAUCCCCUGCCCCUAAACAAUGCCCCAUGCAUGCCCCCAAACCAAAAUAGCGCCACAUGUUUUUUAUUUUUUUCCAUUUUAGUUGUAGUUCAUUUUUUAAAUAAAAAUUUAUAAUGAUUUGGAUGAAUUUUUAACUUAUUAUCAACGUUUUUGUUUUUGUUUUAUUUUCUAUUAAUUUUACCUAUUCUUUAAUUAACAAAUUUAUAAUGACUUGGAAUUAAUUUAACAGUGUUUUUUUUUAUAAUCGUUCUUAUAAUAAAAUUUAAAAAGGUGGGAACGAGUCCCACAAUGACAACAUGAUCCAUGCCUUUAGUCAAAGGUUCAGAUAACAUCUGCUCAGUGUUAAUGUGCUCAAUGACGACUUUCUUUUCUUUAACAUAUUCCCUUAUGGCUAGAUACUUAAAAUCGAUAUGUUUACUUCGACUUUCACUUUUGUCGCUCUUAGCCAUAAAUACAGCAAUUGAAUUGUCACAAUAUAUGAAAUAAUCGAAACCUAUAAUGACUCAGCUCAAAAAACUCGAGCCUCAAACCCAAAUUAAAUUAAAUCAAAAUCAUAAUUUAUUAUAUACAAUUGCAUAAAAUUAACAUAAUUUAAGUGUCAUAGUGCACAUUAAAUUAAAGUUUAUGUUUGACAUUAUAGAUUGAAGCAAUAUUCAUGUGUAAAAUUUUGAGAUUUAUUUCCUUAAUGAAAGUAAUAUUUCAAAUAGAAUACUUGAACAAUCCUCCAUGUUGGCAAACUUUAUGUACAUUAGAAACGAACUAAAUAAUUAGAAUAAAUCUAAAGUAUGGCUUACAUUUAAUUUAUUCAUAAUGUGACUUAAACUUUGGCCUUCAAGAUUUCACGGUCUCAAAUUAUGUCUUAAAAUUUUAAGAUCAUUUUAGGUUUGUUAAAAACAUCAAUAGUUUAGAAAGUUAGAAUUGUUGCUUGAGGCGUGGAUUUCCCUAUUCUUUAGGAUAUUCGUGGAUUUACUAUCCCUCAAGAUUUAAUUUGUAUCAUGUGCAAUGAAAAAAUUGAAAAAGAAAAUUCCCAUUUGAAUGGAAUUGAGCUAUUAGGCUCAGGCCUCGUGUGCGCAUAUAUAUUCUCUUAUUUUGAGUCUUACAAGUUUAUAGUAAACCAAAUCUAUAUAAACAUCAUUUUAUAAGUGUAUCUAAGAUAUGUUUAAUAUGUGUAAUUCUUUAAAAUACAUGAAAACUUCAAAUGUGGUUUAGGUCAUUUUCAGAUUUGUCUUAUUUAGGUUCAAAUCAUUCGAAUUUGAGGCUAAGUUUUUCAUGUGUAAUCAUUAUUGAUCCGAAUCAUUUUAGAUUUUGAUCAUUUUAAGUUCUAAUUAUUUUGUGAUCAAAUCAUUUCAAGUUUAGAUAAAUUUGGGUCAAUUUUGAAUUUGACUUAAUUACGUAAUUAACCUUUUUUAUAAUAAAUUGAGCUGAAUGAACUUUAGAUUGGAAUUUAUUUAGUGUACCUUUGUGUUUAAGUUGAAAUUUAAACAUCUGUAUUAGAAAUACACAUGUUAAUACAAUUUUAUGUUAAAGACAAUAAUACGACAAAAUUAAUUUGGGAGAUAAACAUGUUAAUUUUUUAAUCCCAACCAAAAUUGUACAUAAUUGUUUUAUAUCAUAUUAAAUACAUGUAACGUCUUAUAAAAAUUGUCAAUAAAUUAUGCCUAGCGACAACGUUAUUCAAAUCUAAUUUCAUUGUUAAUACCUAUUUCUAUUUUUCUUCUAAUAUCUUCAACUUUAAAUAUAAAGGAAUUGAAAUUUUAAGAAUUGAGAUUUCUUUUCUUUAUAUUAGUGGACAUUUGAUUUUUUGUUUGAUUUUUUUUACUAGAAUUGAUGCAUAUCUUUUCAGAUUUAUCAAUAUUUUUUAAAAUUAUUUAAGAUAUGUAUAUAAAUAUAUUACAAAUAUAAAAUGAAUGAAACUAAAUACAUUUCAAAUAUAAAAUAUUCAUUAAUAAACUUAACAAAUAAAAAUUUAUCAUUCAAAGAAAUCCAAAAUUAUUAAUAAUAAUCCAUCAUUUAAUAUGAAAUUCUAAAGAUUUAGCUCAUUUACUUAAUAAAAGAAGGUGAAAGGUGGACGAAUAUUUUUUAUUUGAUAAUCAGGUAAAUGGUUUUUUCUUAAUUAUAUUUUGAAUGUGAAAGUAUAUUCCAUUUUUUUUUAAAAUUUACAUUCCGAUGUAGCGUUUUUAAUUAGUCACGUUUCAAUUAAGUUUUUAGCAUAAUAGUAAAUUAUUAAAAGUUUAAUAUUUUUAAUAUUAUUCAUGCAUAGGACGGUGCACUAUGUUCUGGCAGGUGUGACAGGAAUUGAUCGGAAUGAGUUGGUGCAAUUGGUACAGACCAAAAUUUUUACCAGUGUAGAAAAAGGGUUUUGGGUGUUUCGCAAUGUUAUUGAAACCAAACCAAACAGACCAAAAACCGAUGAACCCGAGAACUAGAGUAAACUGCAGUUAAACUGCAAAUCAUCAGCUGAUUAAGCCGCAUUUCGCAUUUUCUAGACUGGAAAACAAAAAUUUCACUUCAGAUCCCUUGAGCUUUUGUUACACUUCUUCUCUUAACUCAAAAUAAAACAAACCAUACAAAGAAUAAGCACUGUUUCUUUUAUUACUUUUUUAUUACUCAGUGAAAAACCUGGACUUAUAACAUUCAAUCAAAGGAAAAAAAAGACAAAUUAGGAAAGAUGAAAGAUGGGGAGAGGGUUUUAAAAUUCAAAGCCGUCAAAAUAGAUGAGUUUGGGGUUAUUAAUAUUAUUUUAUAUUGUUCAAUAGAAAAUUAAUUGUAUCGGUGGUUGAAUCUGUGAGAUCAAAAAUUAAUUAAUUGAUUAAUUUAAUUAUCAAUCUAAUUUUAAAAAUAUUAAUAUUUCGGUAUAAAAUUAAUACAGUGCACACAAAUUAAUAUAACCGAAAUCUGUACGAAACCGAGCACCUUAAUUUAAUACAUAAUUUGACAUUCAUAUAAAAUAUUAUCUUGGAAAUAUAUUGAAAGAGGAAAGUAAUCGUAUGUAAAUGGAUAACUUGGAAGAGAUAAUGAAGCAGGAAUCAUUAUAUUAACAGUGGCAUCUUCUCGAUGUACGGCGGCUCACUAUUUUGACUGCAUUUAUCGUUUGAUUCUUUUCUUAAUUAGCCAAACUCAUGUUAACAAUGGUAUAACAGUAAUUAAUUACUUCAUGGAUAGAACAUCAAUAUAUAAAUACCCCAUAUAUAAUAAGCAACAACGUUUCAAAAUACACCAAAUAAUGGGAAUUGGAGAACGCCCAUUUAUACAAACAAAUAUAAGUGGGCAAAAUCAAUACUCAUAAUAAAGACACAAAGACGACUAAAAACCUUAUUAAACUAGAUCCAGUAUGCAGCAUAACAGAAAAGGGGGUAUUUCAAGGAGUAGAGCGAGAAGGUGGUGGAGAAAAGAAAGGAAUAGAAGGAACUGCAGUUGGGAUUGAGGGAAUGCUUGGCAGAGGCGACAGUCCUCUUGGCAAUGUGGUAGGAAGUGGAGGAAGCGCCCCAGGGUUUGGGAGAUAAGGGAAAGAUGGCAAUGGUGGAAAAGAGAAAGGAAUAGGGGGAAUUGCAGUUGGGAUUGUGGGGACUGAGGGAAUGCUUGGCAGAGGGGGCAGUCCUGUUGGGAAUGUGGUAGGAAGUGGAGGAAGCGCCCCAGGCCAUGGGAAUGAUUGUCGGGAUGGCGUUGGGAGAUUAGGGAAAGAUGGUAAACUUUGCGGUUGAGGCUGCUGCAGAAGGUGACGAGCUGCUACCCCAACAUCAAUGCUUGCAAAUGACAAAGCAAUCAAGAAUGCUAAAGCAAGGAAAUUGAAAGAGGCCAUUUUUGUUCAGAGAUUUCGAAACAAAUGAAGCAGAUGAAACAAAGUUCUUUAUCUGAAUAGUUGUGGGUGAAGAAAACAAAGCAUGGUAUUGAGGUUUAUAUAGGCAUUGGAGCAGUGAAUAGAAAUCCCCUGCCCCUAAACAAUGCUCCAUGCAUGCCCCCAAACCAAAAUAGCUCCACAUGUUUUUUAUUUUUUUCAUUUUAAUUUUUUAAAAUAAAAACUCUGUAAUGAUUUGAAUUAAUUUUUAACUUAUUAUCAACGUUUUUAUUUUUGUUUUAUUUUUAUUUUACAUUAAUUUUACCUAUUCUUUAAUUAACAAAUUUAUAAUGACUUAGAGUUAAUUUGAGAGAUUUUUUUUUUAUAAUUGGUCUUAUAAUAAAAUUUUACAAAGCAGAAACAAGUUCCACUGUGAAAACAUGAUCCUUAAAUUUUUGGAGAUAACCAUGUUAAUUUUUUAAUCCCAACCAAAAUUCUAAAUAAUUCUUUUAUGUCAUAUUAAAUACACGUAACGUCUUAUAAAAAUUGUCAAUAAAUUAUGCAUAGUGACAAGGUUAUUCAAAUCUAAUUUCAUUGUUAAUACCUAUUUCUAUUUUUCUUCUACUGUCUUCAACUUUAAAUAUAAAGGGAUUGAAAUUUUAAGAAUUGAGAUUUCUUUUCUCUGUAUUAGUGGACGUUUGAUUUUUUAUUUUAUUUUUUUAUUGGAAUUGAUACAUAUCUUUUCAGAUUUAUCAAUAUAUUUUAAAAUUUUAUAAGAUAUGUAUAUAAAUAUAUUAAAAAUAUAAAAUGAAUGAAACUAAAUACAUUUCACAUAUAAAAUAUUCAUUAAUCAACUUAAGAAAUAAAAAUUUAUCAUUCAAAUAAUCCAAAAUUAUUACUAAUAAUCUCAUUUAAUAUGAAAUUUUAAGGAUUUAGCUCAUUUACUUAAUAAAAGUAGUUGAAAGGUGAAUGAAUAUUUUUUUUAUAAUCGGGUGAAUGGUUUUUUUCUUAAUUAUAUUUUUAAUGUGAAAGUAUAUUCUAAUUUUUUUUAAAAACUUUACAUUCCGAUGUAGCAUUUUUAAUUAGUCACGUUUCAAUUAAGUUUUUAGCAUAAUAGAAAAUAAUUAAAAGUUUAAUAUUUUUAAUAUUAUUCAUGCGCAGGACGGUGCACUAUGUUCUGGCAGGUGUGACUGGAAUUGAUCGGAAUGAGUUGGUGCAAUUGGUACGGACCGAAAUUUUUACCAGUGUAGAAAAAGGGUGUUGGGUGUUUCACAAUAUUAUUGAAAGCAAACCAAAAAGACCAAGAACCGAUGAACCCGAGAACUAGAGUAAACUGCAGUUAAACUACAAAUCAUCUGUCGAUUAAGUCGUAUUUUCACAUUCUUUAAACCGGAAAAACAAAAAUUACACUUCAAAUCCCUUGAGCCAUUGUUAUACUUUUUCUCUGCACUCAAUGAAAUAAAACACAACAUAAAAAAAAUAAGCACCAUCUCUUUUAUUACUUUUACUACUAAAAUAACUUUUUUUUUCUUGUGAAAAACCUAAGAUGGACUUAUAACAUAUAAUAAAAAGGGAAAAAAAAGACAAAUUAGGAAAGAUGAAAGAUGGGGAGAGGGUUUUAAAAUUCAAAGCCGUCAAAAUAGAUGAGUUUGGGGUUAUUAGUAUUAUUUUAUAUUGUUCAAUAGAAAAUUAAUUGUAUCGGUGGUUGAACCUGUGAGAUCAAAAAUUAAUUAAUUGAUUAAUUUAAUUAUCGAUCUAAUUUUAAAAAUAUUAAUAUUUCGGUAUAAAAUUAAUACAGUGCACACAAAUUAAUAUAACCGAAAUCUGUACGAAACCGAGCACCUUAAUUUAAUACAUAAUUUGACAUUCAUAUAAAAUAUUAUCUUGGAAAUAUAUUGAAAGAGGAAAGUAAUCGUAUGUAAAUGGAUAACUUGGAAGAUAUAAUGAAGCAGGAAUCAUUAUAUUAACAGUGGCAUCUUCUCGAUGUACGACUGCUCACUAUUUUGACUGCAUUUAUCGUUUGAUUCUUUUCUUAAUUAGCCAAACUCAUGUUAACAAUGGUAUAACAGUAAUUAAUUACUUCAUGGACAGAACAUCAAUAUAUAAAUACCCCAUAUAUAAUAAGCAACAACGUAUCAAAAUACACCAAAUAAUGGGAAUUGGAGAACGCCCAUUUAUACAAACAAAUAUAAGUGGGCAAAAUCAAUACUCAUAAUAAAGACACAAAGACGAUUAAAAGCCUUAUUAAACUAGAUCCAGUAUGCAGCAUAACAGAAAAUGGGGUAUUUCAAGGAGUAGAGCGAGAAGGUGGUGGAGAAAAGAAAGGAAUAGAGGGAACUGCAGUUGGGAUUGAGGGAAUGCUUGGCAGAGGCGGCAGUCCUCUUGGCAAUGUGGUAGGAAGUGGAGGAAGCGCCCCAGGGUUUGGGAGAUAAGGGAAAGAUGGCAAUGGUGGAAAAGAGAAAGGAAUAGGGGGAACUGCAGUUGGGAUUGUGGGGACUGAGGGAAUGCUUGGCAGGGGGGGUAGUCCUGUUGGCAAUGUGGUAGGAAGUGGAGGAAGCGCCCCAGGCCAUGGGAAUGAUUGUCGGGAUGGAGUUGGGAGAUUAGGGAAAGAUGGUAAACUUUGCGGUUGAGGCUGCUGCAGAAGGUGACGAGCUGCUACCCCAACAUCAAUGCUUGCAAAUGACAAAGCAAUCAAGAAUGCUAAAGCAAGGCAAUUGAAAGAGGCCAUUUUUGUUGAGAGAUUUCGAAACAAAUGAAGCAGAUGAAACAAAGUUCUUUAUCUAAAUAGUUG